CUUUAAUUAAGAUCCGUUCCUCAGCAUAGAUGUGUGUUAAAACAAGUUGCUGUACACCUAGUGUUCAUUCUCUUAAUUGGAGUGUGAGCCUUUUUGUGGGGUAGAAAGAAGCCUUCAACCCAGCAAGCUCAUAGAUCCAAACAUUGAAGAAAAGCUGAAGACAAAAACAACAAGCAUGAAAAUGUUAUUUUACGUCACUCUCGAUCCUUUUCCCUAAAAGGCUUAUGCAGUGACUCAGUUUGGAAAGCUUUUUGGCUUCCAGCCCUUGAAUGUGAAGUGUCGUUGGCAUGUCUGGCAGUAGUCUCAUUCACUCCUCAAUAAACAACGUUGAAAUACGAAAGAAGUUUGUGUAAAAAUUUAGUACUGUCUGGCUUUGAUUCAUUUAAUAAAAAAAGAAUUUGGCUUAGUAUUUUUAUUGCAAAUUGUAAUUGCUAUGGAGCCACACACAACUUUUAAACUUUUAAUUUUAUGAUAAGUAUUAUG
This 483-nucleotide long non-coding RNA is filed under the name Bos taurus (domestic cattle). Its description in RNAcentral is "long non-coding RNA NONBTAT004766". Lineage: Eukaryota; Metazoa; Chordata; Mammalia; Artiodactyla; Bovidae. The record is from RNAcentral.